Molecule: small RNA, 541 nt
Filed under: Pan troglodytes (chimpanzee)
Lineage: Eukaryota; Metazoa; Chordata; Mammalia; Primates; Hominidae
Description: processed transcript
Source: RNAcentral
GCGCAAAGGCCCCACGUGUUCCGACCUGCUAGGCCCCGCGCGGCUCGGAUCCGGCGGCGCUGUUUCGGUCGGGAGUCCGUGGGAGAGAAGCCGGGGCAGGGGAGGAGCCGCCGGAGCUGUCGGAGCCGUGACACCCAGGGCAGCUACACUCAGAAGCCACAAGGAAUGCUAGUGGAGCCCCUCAUCCCUCCCAGCUUCUCUUCCAAGCUGCCCCGUGGGGCUUGAUCCAGGAAGCUACUUCAGAAAGCUAUACCCUUUUUGUACUCUGUGUAUAUACUAUAUUGCAGUAGACAAUCAUUCCAAGGGUACAACAAGGUUUACCACAAUGUGAGGGACUCAGCCAUUGCAAAUUGUACAGAUGAGGGCCCUUGGAAGAAAAUCCUCGCUGUGUCCAGGCUGAGGCGGGGGGCUAAUGACAGUGUGAGCUCUAGAUGGUGUGAGACCACCCCAAAGCCAAGAAAUGGCUACAGCCGUGGAACCAGAGGACCAGGAUCUUUGGGAAGAAGAGGGAAUUCUGAUGGUGAAACUGGAAGAUGAUUUC